RNAcentral lists this ribosomal RNA (121 nucleotides) under Klebsiella quasipneumoniae. RNAcentral's name for it is "23S rRNA. Bacterial LSU". It matches the Rfam family "Bacterial large subunit ribosomal RNA", at positions 2794 to 2925 of the family's 2925-position model. Lineage: Bacteria; Pseudomonadati; Pseudomonadota; Gammaproteobacteria; Enterobacterales; Enterobacteriaceae. The record is from RNAcentral.
UCUCCCUGAGACUAUAAGUCUCCUGAAGGAACGUUGAAGACGACGACGUUGAUAGGCCGGGUGUGUAAGCGCAGCGAUGCGUUGAGCUAACCGGUACUAAUGAACCGUGAGGCUUAACCUU